Molecule: ribosomal RNA, 480 nt
Filed under: uncultured organism
Description: partial 16S ribosomal RNA
Rfam family: Bacterial small subunit ribosomal RNA
Source: RNAcentral
ACGUACACUCCUGCGGGAGGCAGCAGUGGGGAAUAUUGCACAAUGGGCGCAAGCCUGAUGCAGCCAUGCCGCGUGUAUGAAGAAGGCCUUCGGGUUGUAAAGUACUUUCAGCGGGGAGGAAGGCGAUAAGGUUAAUAACCUUGUUGAUUGACGUUACCCGCAGAAGAAGCACCGGCUAACUCCGUGCCAGCAGCCGCGGUAAUACGGAGGGUGCAAGCGUUAAUCGGAAUUACUGGGCGUAAAGCGCACGCAGGCGGUCUGUCAAGUCGGAUGUGAAAUCCCCGGGCUCAACCUGGGAACUGCAUUCGAAACUGGCAGGCUAGAGUCUUGUAGAGGGGGGUAGAAUGCCAGGUGUAGCGGUGAAAUGCGUAGAGAUCUGGAGGAAUACCGGUGGCGAAGGCGGCCCCCUGGACAAAGACUGACGCUCAGGUGCGAAAGCGUGGGGAGCAAACAGGAUUAGAUACCCGAGUAGUCCCAUGA